RNAcentral lists this ribosomal RNA (207 nucleotides) under uncultured Smithella sp. RNAcentral's name for it is "partial 16S ribosomal RNA". It matches the Rfam family "Bacterial small subunit ribosomal RNA", at positions 568 to 774 of the family's 1533-position model. The record is from RNAcentral. Lineage: Bacteria; Pseudomonadati; Thermodesulfobacteriota; Syntrophia; Syntrophales; Smithellaceae.
CGUGUAGGCGGCUGGAUAAGUCAGAUGUGAAAGCCCUGGGCUUAACCUAGGAAGUGCAUUUGAAACUGUUCAGCUUGAGUAGGGGAGAGGAAAAUGGAAUUCCUGGUGUAGAGGUGAAAUUCGUAGAUAUCAGGAGGAACACCGGUGGCGAAGGCGACUUUCUGGCCCUAUACUGACGCUGAGACGCGAGAGCGUGGGUAGCAAACA